RNAcentral lists this ribosomal RNA (493 nucleotides) under Staphylococcus pseudintermedius. RNAcentral describes it as "partial 23S ribosomal RNA". It matches the Rfam family "Bacterial large subunit ribosomal RNA", at positions 699 to 1191 of the family's 2925-position model. Lineage: Bacteria; Bacillati; Bacillota; Bacilli; Caryophanales; Staphylococcaceae. The record is from RNAcentral.
GUAUUUGGUCGUAGACCCGAAACCAGGUGAUCUACCCUUGGUCAGGUUGAAGUUCAGGUAACACUGAAUGGAGGACCGAACCGACUUACGUUGAAAAGUGAGCGGAUGAACUGAGGGUAGCGGAGAAAUUCCAAUCGAACUUGGAGAUAGCUGGUUCUCUCCGAAAUAGCUUUAGGGCUAGCCUCAAGUGAUGAUUAUUGGAGGUAGAGCACUGUUUGGACGAGGGGCCCCUCUCGGGUUACCGAAUUCAGACAAACUCCGAAUGCCAAAUAAUUUAACUUGGGAGUCAGAAUGUGGGUGAUAAGGUCCAUAUUCGAAAGGGAAACAGCCCAGACCACCAGCUAAGGUCCCAAAAUAUAUGUUAAGUGGAAAAGGAUGUGGCGUUGCCCAGACAACUAGGAUGUUGGCUUAGAAGCAGCCAUCAUUUAAAGAGUGCGUAAUAGCUCACUAGUCGAGUGACACUGCGCCGAAAAUGUACCGGGGCUAAACAUAU